ACAGCAGCAGCCACGGUAAUACGGAGGGGGCUAGCGUUGUUCGGAAUUACUGGGCGUAAAGCGCACGUAGGCGGCUUGGUAAGUUAGAGGUGAAAGCCCGGAGCUCAACUCCGGAAUUGCCUUUAAGACUGCCGAGCUAGUAGGUGAGAGAGGUAAGUGGAAUUCCGAGUGUAGAGGUGAAAUUCGUAGAUAUUCGGAAGAACACCAGUGGCGAAGGCGGCUUACUGGCUCAUUCUAGACGCUGAGGUGCGAAAGCGUGGGGAGCAAACAGGAUUAGAUACCCCAGUAGUCCCUGUCUCUUAUAC
This 305-nucleotide ribosomal RNA is filed under the name uncultured bacterium. Its description in RNAcentral is "partial 16S ribosomal RNA". It matches the Rfam family "Bacterial small subunit ribosomal RNA", at positions 506 to 807 of the family's 1533-position model. The record is from RNAcentral.